RNAcentral lists this transfer RNA (63 nucleotides) under Dryinus sp. ZJUH_2016011. RNAcentral describes it as "tRNA-Ser". The record is from RNAcentral. Lineage: Eukaryota; Metazoa; Arthropoda; Insecta; Hymenoptera; Dryinidae.
GAAAUAUAAAUAAUUGAACUUCUAAUUCAAAAUAAUAUAAUUAAAUUAAAUUAUAAUAUUUCU